GAUGAACGCUGGCGGCGUGCCUAAUACAUGCAAGUCGAGCGAACGGACGAGAAGCUUGCUUCUCUGAUGUUAGCGGCGGACGGGUGAGUAACACGUGGAUAACCUACCUAUAAGACUGGGAUAACUUCGGGAAACCGGAGCUAAUACCGGAUAAUAUUUUGAACCGCAUGGUUCAAAAGUGAAAGACGGUCUUGCUGUCACUUAUAGAUGGAUCCGCGCUGCAUUAGCUAGUUGGUAAGGUAACGGCUUACCAAGGCAACGAUGCAUAGCCGACCUGAGAGGGUGAUCGGCCACACUGGAACUGAGACACGGUCCAGACUCCUACGGGAGGCAGCAGUAGGGAAUCUUCCGCAAAGGGCAAAAGCCUGACGGAGCAACGCCGCGUGAGUGAUGAAGGUCUUCGGAUCGUAAAACUCUGUUAUUAGGGAAGAACAUAUGUGUAAGUAACUGUGCACAUCUUGACGGUACCUAAUCAGAAAGCCACGGCUAACUACGUG
Molecule: ribosomal RNA, 497 nt
Filed under: uncultured bacterium
Lineage: Bacteria
Description: partial 16S ribosomal RNA
Rfam family: Bacterial small subunit ribosomal RNA
Source: RNAcentral